Long non-coding RNA from Alosa alosa (allis shad), 790 nucleotides. RefSeq lists it as uncharacterized. NCBI's taxonomy places the organism in Eukaryota, Metazoa, Chordata, Actinopteri, Clupeiformes, Clupeidae. The record is from RefSeq and is a predicted model, not a curated record. The transcript is spliced from 3 exons.
CAUUACGUGUGUUCAUCCCCAAAGGGAAACUCGCCUUCCAGAAAAAGAAAAUAAACCAACAAAUUAUACACUCUCUUUUAAAUUUGCCUGCUGACGAUGCAAUUGCUUGCCAUUCGGGACAAUUAGUAAGAAUUUGAAUGCAACUAAGCAAGAAUUUGAAUUGAGACAAGACGGUACCUUUCUUUCUCCACCAUGGUCCCUCGGGGACCGAGUACGAGAGGUCUUUGAACUCGAUGUUGACCGCUGGUCUGCGUGGAAGGGAUGAUUUCUCUACCGCGUUCUGCAGCAGGAGGGCUGCUGGUGGUGUAGUCACAAGGCUGUGCAUGUGCCUCGGUGGUGAUACGGCUGCUGGCUCCACCACUGCAGUGGACACACUGGAUCAGUUCUACUGAUGAGCCCGUCGCCUUCCUCAGCGACACACCACUACCUGUACACUGAUGUGCCACACCACUACCUGUACACUGAUGUGGUAGUGUCUGUUGUAGCUAUUACACUCACUAUAUGACAGCUACUGUAAAACAUCAUACAUGAGAUAUGUCUAGAUAAGUGAGAUGUUGCUGCAAACAUCACAAACAUUUAAAUUCAUGAAUGAUGCAAAACAUUUUAUGAAUGAAAUAUCAGGAUGUUGACUUAUGUAAGAUUAUAACUUAAUAUGCCAUCGUAUCAAAAGAUUAUCUACAUCACAUACAUUUCAAGCACACCCAAUUUGAGCAAUGUACAGUGAAUAACAUGGAGAGAUACAUCUCUCUCUCUCUCUCACACACACACACACACACAAACAACGGUGAUC